ACUGCAUUAGCAAAAGGGUUGUUAAGAAAAAAUGAGAGCCUUUUAAUUGACUACUUCAAUUAAAAACCCACAUGUUAAAUGUUUCUAUUUCAUAGCUGUGCAACGAUACAGUUCAUUUGCUCCAAGACAAUAGAGCCCCCCCAAACAAGAAAUGAGUAACACAGCCAUGUUAUUCACUCAAUAGAAGAAAUGAAAACAUUACAGAGAACGGAAACUUUAACAGACAGGUUGUUUUUUAGGUACAAAGUGUGGCAGAUUUUGAUGAAGUUGCCUUAAGCAUUUCACAACUGAAGUCAUCGAGUUCAUUGGCUGAAAGCCUGUCCAGGUCUCUCCGAAUGGCAGCACAGCUUUCUGGUGUAUCAGCCACUCCUCCCAGUUUUGUGACAUCGGCAAACUUGCUGAGGGUACACUCUGUUCCAUCGUCCAGGUCAUUGAUGAGUAAGUUGAACAAGACUGGGCCCAGUACUGACCCCUGGGGACACCACUACUAUAUGACUCCAACCAGACUGCACACCACUGAGCACAACCCCGAGCUCUGCCAUCUAUCCAGGUCUCAAUCCACCUCACUGUUCACUCAUCUAACCCACACUUUCUGAGCUUGCCUAUGAGGAUGUUAUGGGAGACAGCACUGAAAGCCUUGCUGAAGUCAAGGUAAACAACAUCCACUAUUUUCCCAUCAUCUACCCAGCCAGUCAUUCUAUCAUAGAAGGCUUUCAGAUUUGAUUAAACAUGAAUUCCCCUUGGUGAAUCCAUGCUGACCACUCCUGAUCACCCUCUUUUCCUCCACAUGCUUAGAGAUGACAUCCAGGAUCACAGAGUCACAGAACUGUAGGGGUUGGAAGGGACCUCAAGAGA
This is a long non-coding RNA of Cygnus olor (mute swan), 855 nucleotides long. RefSeq lists it as uncharacterized. The record is from RefSeq and is a predicted model, not a curated record. The transcript has 3 exons. Lineage: Eukaryota; Metazoa; Chordata; Aves; Anseriformes; Anatidae.